This 421-nucleotide ribosomal RNA is filed under the name uncultured bacterium. Its description in RNAcentral is "bacterial SSU rRNA". It matches the Rfam family "Bacterial small subunit ribosomal RNA", at positions 361 to 774 of the family's 1533-position model. The record is from RNAcentral.
AUCUUCCGCAAUGGGCGAAAGCCUGACGGAGCAACGCCGCGUGAGUGAUGAAGGGUUUCGGCUCGGAACACUCUGUUAUUUGGGAAGAACAAAUGUGUAAGUAACUGUGCACAUCUUGACGGUACCUAAUCAGAAAGCCACGGCUAACUACGCGCCAGCAGCCGCGGUAAUACGUAGGUGGCACGCGUUAUCCGGAAUUAUUGGGCGUAAAGCGCGCGUAGGCGGUUUCUUAAGUCUGUUGUGAAAGCCCACGGCUCAACCGGGGAGGGUCAUUGGAAACUGGGAAACUUGAGUGCAGAAGAGGAAAGUGGAAUUCCAUGUGUAGCGGUGAAAUGCGCAGAGAUAUGGAGGAACACCAGUGGCGAAGGCGACUUUCUGGUCUGUAACUGACGCUGAUGUGCGAAAGCGUGGGGAUCAAACA